ACAAGUGAAUUGGAUGAAAUUCAGUCCACUGAAGUAGACUCAAGCGUAAUCCAGCUGGUCCAGGAGACCUUCCUAGGAAGAACAAAACCAGAAGGGAAGCCCAGAGGAUGUCUGCUGCUGCUAACCAACCUUGGCCUGCUGUUACAGCUAAGCUCUGUAACAGCUCUGUCUCCCGAGUUGCUGGAAAUGCCUCAUGUGCUUUCAGGCACUGCUCAACUGCCAGCGUCACAAAAUCUUUUCUCUGUUGGCGUAUACUCUGGAGAAGGCGAUGGGUAUGCUGUUCUUUGAGGAAAGUGGUAUUGCGUUUGAAAAGAUGGCAACAGGCUAAAAUCUAUUGGGUAGUCUGGAGUGUUGAACUGAAUGUGAACAAUUGGCUACGGAGGAGAAGAAGAAUGAAAAAGACAGGAAGAUAAACACUGGAAGAACAUUUUGAUAGAAUAAAAGGCCCUUUGCAGAUUGCUUUCGCCA
RNAcentral lists this long non-coding RNA (468 nucleotides) under Struthio camelus australis. Its description in RNAcentral is "lncRNA (ENSSCUG00000008809.1)". The record is from RNAcentral. Lineage: Eukaryota; Metazoa; Chordata; Aves; Struthioniformes; Struthionidae.